This 72-nucleotide transfer RNA is filed under the name Chloroflexota bacterium. RNAcentral describes it as "Chloroflexi bacterium (cold seep metagenome) tRNA-Arg". It matches the Rfam family "tRNA". From Rfam's summary of the family: Transfer RNA (tRNA) molecules are approximately 80 nucleotides in length. Their secondary structure includes four short double-helical elements and three loops (D, anti-codon, and T loops). The record is from RNAcentral. RNAcentral also lists the same sequence under 1 other name. Lineage: Bacteria; Bacillati; Chloroflexota.
GCCCCUGUAGCUCAGAGGAUAGAGCACCAGCCUCCGGAGCUGGGAGCGAGCGUUCGAGUCGCUCCAGGGGCG